Molecule: ribosomal RNA, 442 nt
Filed under: uncultured bacterium
Lineage: Bacteria
Description: partial 16S ribosomal RNA
Rfam family: Bacterial small subunit ribosomal RNA
Source: RNAcentral
CCUACGGGAGGCAGCAGUGGGGGAUAUUGGACAAUGGGGGGAACCCUGAUCCAGCGCCGCCGCGUGAGUGAAGAAGUAUCUCGGUAUGUAAAGCUCUAUCAGCAGGGAAGAAGAAAUGACGGUACCUGAGUAAGAAGCCACGGCUAACUACGUGCCAGCAGCCGCGGUAACACGUAGGGGGCAAGCGUUAUCCGGAAUUACUGGGGGUAAAGGGAGCGUAGACGGUGAUGUAAGUCUGGAGUGAAAGGCGGGGGCCCAACCCCCGGACUGCUCUGGAAACUAUGUGACUAGAGUGCAGGAGAGGUGAGCGGAAUGCCUAGUGUAGCGGUGAAAUGCGUAGAUAUUAGGAGGAACACCAGUGGCGAAGGCAGCUCACUGGACUGUAACUGACGUUGAGGCUCGAAAGCGUGGGGAGCAAACAGGAUUAGAUACCCUUGUAGUC